RNAcentral lists this ribosomal RNA (109 nucleotides) under Roseburia sp. AF25-25LB. RNAcentral describes it as "partial 23S ribosomal RNA". It matches the Rfam family "Bacterial large subunit ribosomal RNA", at positions 2815 to 2925 of the family's 2925-position model. The record is from RNAcentral. Lineage: Bacteria; Bacillati; Bacillota; Clostridia; Lachnospirales; Lachnospiraceae.
UCUAUAAGACAGUAAGACCCCUGAAAGAGUAUCAGGUAGAUAGGGCAGAGGUGGAAGCACGGUAACGUGUGGAGCUGACUGUUACUAAUCGGUCGAGGGCUUGACCAAA